This is a long non-coding RNA of Vitis vinifera (wine grape), 1344 nucleotides long. RefSeq lists it as uncharacterized. The transcript is spliced from 6 exons. The record is from RefSeq and is a predicted model, not a curated record. NCBI's taxonomy places the organism in Eukaryota, Viridiplantae, Streptophyta, Magnoliopsida, Vitales, Vitaceae.
UGCAGUUACCGAUUUUGAAUAGAAUUAAUUGAUUAAAAAGAAUUAAAUGAUCCACGAAUCUACUUAAAUAUACAGUUUCCAGAGUCUUUAACAUUCAGAGCCCCAAUGGCGGAUUCUGAAGAUAUGGAGAACUCUGAAGAAGAAGUCUCUGCAGAUGAAGACCAUGACAUAUCUUACCAGAAAUGGAAAUUGCUUUCUCCGGAGUUUACAAAAAUAAGAAAGAUGCAGAAAAGGGCAAGAGAAGAUUUCUGGAAAAUGUUGUUGGCCCAGCAGUCUGUUACUUCCAAAUUACCAAUUAGCAACGCUUUCAAGACAACUUGAAUAGCGUUCAAAAAUUCUGAAGAAACAAGAUGACCAAUAUCAGAAAGGGUCACACAAGCGCUUUCUUGAAAGUAGGAAGAACUUGAGAAGAUCACUGAGCUACAAUAAACGAACAAAAAGCUGAGGAGCUCAGAGGAAGAUCAGAAGAGGGAAAAGGAUAGACUUAAUCAAAGAAUUGUUCGACUCGAAGAGGAACUGUUAGAAAAGGAUGAGGAAUUGAAUAACAUGGAAGAAAAAAUUGAGCAUUUAGAAGAGAUGAACCGAGUUCUCAUCGCCAAAGAGCGGAAAAGUAAUUAUGAAUUGCAGGAAGCUCGGAAGGAGCUGAUCAAUGGUUUGAAAGAACUGCCCAGCAGCGCUUCCAGUUCUUUUAUUGGCAUUAAAAACAUGGGAGAUCUUGACUAUAAACCAUUCUACACUGCAAUCAAGAAGAAAUAUCCCAGUCAAGAAGCAUCUUAGAAAGCUCUGGAGCUGUGUUCUCUUUGGGAGCAUUUCCUCAAAGAUCGAAACAGUUGACGGAAGCAGCAAGGAAGUAAUUGAUGAAAAGAAUGAGACAUUGAGAACUCUGAAGAGUGACUAUGGAGAGGAGGUUUACAUAGCUGUAACAACUGCUUUGACUGAGAUGAAUGAAUACAAUCCCAGUGGUAGGUCCAUAACACGAGUUAUGGAAUCACUUCGAAGGAAGAAAGGCGACACUGAAAGAACUGUGUCAUAUAUAUAUACUAAUGCAGCGGAGAAUGGACAAUCAGGGAAAUGGAUAUUGCACUUGGGGUAAUGAAUCUAAUUCAUCAGCAAACGAAUCUGCUGACAAAUCAGCCGGUGAGUCUGAUCUCCGAGCAAUCCGUUCCUAUAUUCCAAGAAAGGCUUGAGAUGGGUAGCUUAUGUUUUGCAAGAUUGGAGGACAUUGAAAUGAAAUAUACCUAUCUGGGAUGAACCAUGAAAACUCAAAAGUACUUUUUUGUUGAAUGUGUAAUUAGUAGAAGCCAUAUGCAGCUACUUUUGAUUGUAUAUAUGCUUAUGACUAGC